GGCUGGGACAGGGCCUGGUUCUAGGACCAGGACUUGAGGAAUCUCAGCAAGUUACUGAAACCAGUACUCUGAUUCUGAAUUACCUAGUUGGCAGAAUUCAUGGAUGAAGUUGCUACUUUCUAAGGGAUGCUGUGGGCCCUCUGGCCCCACCCAGGUCUGGUUUUGAGGAUCUGGGAGGGACUUUUGGUUCUCCAGUAUCAGGGAGACUCCGACAGGCCAGGGCAAGUGGACCUUCUAAGUUUGUAGAAGCUGCUACACCGACCGUCCAAUUUUGCAUCCCUACCAGCGACGGAUGACAAUUUCUGUCUGCUGCUCUGCCUCCUCUCUGGCAAUUGGCAUCAUCAGUGUUUUGGAUUUUAGCCAUUCAAAUAGAAUCUGCAGCUGGAAAGACAUCCCUGAAGACAAAUAGCCACCUUCCUAGCACUUUGGCUCCCGGUACAACCACUUCCAUCCCAGAGCCUCCUGGGGCGGACCAGUUCCAUGCUGCAUUCAGGCCAGUGCUCUGGCAUCUGACCCUGAAAUGGAACUUGAAGGUCACCAGCUCUAGAUGGCCAGCUUCUCCACCAUCCUCAUGCCAGGACAUCAGAGGCUCCUCCUUUACACCAAGGCCUGGCACUCCUGGACCCAUGAACCCCCACGGGCAUGGAGGCAGUGACUAAUUAAACGAAGCGGCCAACAUCUGGUAGAUGACAGGUCCUUGAGAGACUGGGACACGGGACCCAUGAACUGUGCUGAAGGUUGCUGAGCUGGCAGACUCUUGCACCUGGUGUGGAUGGAGAGCUGGUUCUUCACUGCCUUUUCUACCUUUCCUAUUUUGGAAUUUUGCCUGGGGCCAGUCCUUGUUAAAGGCCAAUUUUCUUCCCCAUCUACUUACAAUUUAUGGUCCUUCCAGAUUGCUAUCUUUGCUAGGUAAUAGAGAGGAGAGAACAAAAACAGUUGAUCAUCUUGGAGCAAGGAGAGAAGGCAAAGCUACCCCCCCCAAUCCUUCCAGUUUCUUCUCGCAUCCCUGACAGUUCUGGGGGAGCCGUAUUAGGCAGAGGUUUUUCAGUUGUAAUACAGCCUGUCAAUUAGGAUUGCGUUUGGCCGCAUGUAACAGAAGUGCGAGUACCAUGGCUUAAGCAAGCAAGGGGUUUAUUUUUCACAGGUGACAAGAAAUCCAGUGAAAAGCACUGCAUCUGCAAUCCAGACAGGAAAAGGGUAAGAGGGAAAAGAGCCUUCUCCCUUGAUGUCCCUCAAGGACCAUCACUCAUCUCGUUGCCUAAAAGUGGGUCACUGGGCCACUUAAAGCUGCAAAAACUCUAGACAAGUAUUUCAGUUAGCUACAUAGCUGCCUCAAAAAAAAAAAAAAGUCAGGAUUCUGUUGAUAAGGAAGACAGAAAAAAUGGAUACCCAUAGGGGACCAGCAGCAU
Molecule: long non-coding RNA, 1409 nt
Organism: Zalophus californianus (California sea lion)
Lineage: Eukaryota; Metazoa; Chordata; Mammalia; Carnivora; Otariidae
Exons: 3
Source: RefSeq, a predicted model, not a curated record